CAGCGGGAGAAAUGAAUCAACGAAUAAACAUCUGUCUUCAGUUUCUGUGGUGUAGCAAAUAUUUGAUAUCAUUCCUGCUAUUUAUUGAACCAUGGCAUCAAAUACACGAAGAAGUGACUGAGAUACAAAUAGCUGUUACUAAGCUUAUAUUUAACAUGACGCCAGUUGGUAAGCCCGUGCCUCUAAAACUGGACCUGAUGUUCAAACAACUCCUUCUAAACAAGCCAACUAUAUCGCCUUUACGAAUGUUUUCAGUCCAGCGAUCA
Nymphalis io (European peacock) is the source of this 266-nucleotide long non-coding RNA. RefSeq lists it as uncharacterized. The record is from RefSeq and is a predicted model, not a curated record. NCBI's taxonomy places the organism in Eukaryota, Metazoa, Arthropoda, Insecta, Lepidoptera, Nymphalidae. The transcript is spliced from 3 exons.